CCGACUUAAAUUUUAUCUAGUUCAUUUGGGCCUUUUUAUUUGGCAACUUUCAAAAGAGAAUAUUAAGUUUCAUGGAAGUUAAUGGCACACUCAUGUACAAAAUUCCAAAUGUGAUGGAGAUGUUUGCAUAAAAGGAAAAACUUAAUAUAAGAAUAAUCCAUCCCCCUAUAUAAUAAAAAGCAUACACGAUUUUUUCAAGGCUUAACUUGGAAGUAAUAUAUUAAAGGACAAUACUGCACAAAUGUCUGUGAGUGUGAUUAAACUGAUUGCACAAACAGCUUAUUAUCAGAAUACAGAAUCAGGAAACCGGUGCUUCAGUAUCAGCAAGAAGCAACAUUGUUGGGCAACACAUCAUCAUUCAAAAUUGGAUGGGCACAUAAAUGAAGUGAUGCUAUCCUGUAGAGUCAAAGUUCUGAAAUUCUAGGAUUGUUUUUUUCUAAGUCUUACUGAAAAUGUAUGGAAAAACUAAUAAGUAGAGCCUACAAGUGAGCUCUGAAUUCUUGUUCUCUAAAACAGCAGCACACAUAUAGGCCUAGGUUCUUAAAGGGCUUUUCCAGUUAAACUCAAGUAAAUUAUCCAAUAUUCCCUACAUGUAUUUCUGAGGCUGCUGAAUUUAUUUUUCCUUCUAGAAUGUAAGGAAAACUUCCUGGAUUUGAUUAGGCAUUGUGGAAGUACUGAAUCAACAGUCCUAAAAAGCAAAUAUUACAGUAUCCACCUCCCCUAGAAUCAAAUUAUCCCAGGAAGUAAAUAACCACAAUGAACCCUGGACACAGCACCAGAAAUCAAAGGUCCUAAUCCUUAGGUGGUGCCAAAGGAAUACUAUACAGUAUACAGACUGUCUAAAAAUACUUCAGAAACCCGCCAAACCUCCUUCCCUGAAAAGCUUUAAAAAUAUGUUGAAUAGCUGUUUUAUGUGAUUUGGAUAUAGUUUUAUUCAGAGACUGGAGAACAGGCAAAAUGAUCAUGAGCUGUCCUGUCUUUUGUAAUUCCAGGAUUAUGUAAAAUAAAUUAGUGGAAGUUUUCAUCCUAUUACAUAUCGUCACCAACCUCAAAUCACUGUAACACAUCAUUUUAAAGAAUAAAGAUAACUAGCAACAAACUAUGAUUUAAUUUUGAAUAGAAGGCAGCAUAAUAUCUUUAAUGAGGAAGAAUAUUUUGAGAAAUGAUGGCAAAAAGAAAAGUUAAAGUCAGUCUGACAGCAGAACUCCUACUACCCAGUUCAAUUGGCUUCCCUUCUUUUACUUAGGCUACUGUUGCCUAACAACAUUCAAUCCAGUAAUAUGAUGGAUAAUUAAUCAUAUAUAAUGAAUAGCCAUCUGUAUCAGUCUUCUCAAUGACUAUUGAUCCUAAAUGGGAUGCUGACUUUCUGAUAAGUAUCUCUAGAUUUUCUAAAGAUUCUGAUACUGAGUCUUUGCCUAAAGGAGGUAGGUUAGAAACAAGAUGAUCAUGCCAACCUUGUUCAGAUGAGUUACAGCUGUUAACAUCUCAUUUUUCAAAAGAAUUAAGUAAGACUCCCAAUGAUAAAAGAAUCACCAUCUUCCCUUAAAUAAAGAUGAUUUCAUGAAGAGAAAGCAGAUCACAAUCAACCAGGUAUGGCUAUAUACUUCUCUAAGGUUGCAGGGACAGAUAUAUUUAAGGAAAACCAGAUAAAACUGGUUUCCAUUAAGCUGCCUUUAAUAGUGCCAUCUAAUUCCAUGAUAUCCCUAUCCUAAAAGACAGGAAAUGCACAGAGACCACAUCUUUGGUCUCUGGAAAACUAUCCAAUGGCUUGAUUCCUCUGUUAAUUCAUGAAAAUAAAUUUUUCUUUAGUGCUUAACAAUUUUAAAAUUCCCAGGUAACUUGAACACCCCAGCAUCUUCUUAUUACAAAGUAUAAAACAGUAAUCAUACUAAUAACACUAGUUCAGAAAGUGCUAUGGGAGGUUUAAUUUUCAAAGAGAUGUGCAAACUAAAUAUUCCAAAUGAUUGCUCCUUGUCACUACCUACAGUAACCUUUCAGCAUUGCUAUUGCACAUCACAGGAAUGGAUGGUUUCCUCAUAUGAGCCAGCAACAUACCUCCAAAACUUCAAAAUAUAUGAAGGCAGUUCCCUGAAUAUAAUCCUUUUCCUCCACUCCCAGUCAAUCAAGCUACAUAUUCAAUUUGAUCCACUAGGCAGAGAAAAAGAGACUUUUAGAACAGAAAGACACCACUCCACACCAAAAUUGGGCAAGCAAGUAAUGUUACAAAAUCUUGAGACCUCUGGUUACAUGAGUUACUAUGAAUACAAUCUAUACCAAAAUUAUGUAGCCAGCUACUUUUGUCUAAUUAAAAUCUCAUACAUAAGAAUCUCUAUACAGUAUAAAAACAAAUUUAAAGUGAAUUUUGUGCAGCUGGAAGGUGCUGAGUUGACUUAUUGUCAUCUGGAAUCCUUCGUUUCUUUAUCCCCAGCACAAGCAGAAAGCAUGCAAGUUCUGCCUCAUCCCAUUUAAUCAGUGUGAUACAAUCUUAUAAUAUCUCUAGCACUGAAAGAGAAAUUCAAUCUGGGGAGGUUAUCUGAAUCUAGACUUCCAGGCCAAAAAUAUCAACACAGUCCCCAACUAUGAUGCUGGCCUCUGUCCAGUUUCUUGAAUUCAGAGAAGCUACAUUCACCUCACACAGACAGGAAAUAAUUUCUACCACAUGGCUAAUGUUUGACAAAUUAAACCAAGUUCAAUGACUGAGAUGAAAGCCUGCAUUUCUCAUUAUUUGAACAACUCCAAACUGAAACAUGGUAUAGUAUUCUCAAGUAAACUCCCCACCUAUUAAGAUAAAAAUAUUCCUACAAAAUAAGUACUUCUUUACCUCACUGGGUGAUUUUGAGGACUUCUCUUUUCACCUUUUUUCUUAUAGCUUCAAAAAUAUUACAAUUUCAAAUUUUAAAAGGAAUAAGAAAAAAAUGCACAGCAGAACCUGAGUUACUACAAACAGAAACGGGUCCUGUACUUUGGGUAUCUUCUUGACUGAAAAAGCCACAAAUGUCCUUUCAGGUUGCUCAAUUAGGAAUCUUAACUAAAUAUGUCCUAAGUUUUCAAUAAUGCAGCACCAUCCUCACAAAAACCUAUUCAUCUUCCACGGUACUGUAUUCAGU
Molecule: long non-coding RNA, 3107 nt
Organism: Sarcophilus harrisii (Tasmanian devil)
Lineage: Eukaryota; Metazoa; Chordata; Mammalia; Dasyuromorphia; Dasyuridae
Source: Ensembl